UACGUAGGGUGCGAGCGUUGUCCGGAAUUACUGGGCGUAAAGAGCUCGUAGGUGGUUUGUCGCGUUGUCCGUGAAAACUCACAACUCAAUUGUGGGCGUGCGGGCGAUACGGGCAGACUGGAGUACUGCAGGGGAGACUGGAAUUCCUGGUGUAGCGGUGGAAUGCGCAGAUAUCAGGAGGAACACCGGUGGCGAAGGCGGCAUCCUGGACCGGUAUUGACACUGAAAAGCGUAAGCCAGGGGAGCAAACGGG
This 253-nucleotide ribosomal RNA is filed under the name uncultured bacterium. Its description in RNAcentral is "partial 16S ribosomal RNA". It matches the Rfam family "Bacterial small subunit ribosomal RNA", at positions 524 to 776 of the family's 1533-position model. The record is from RNAcentral.